GUGAGGAAUAUUGGUCAAUGGCCGGAAGGCUGAACCAGCCAUCCCGCGUGCAGGAAGACGGCCCUAUGGGUUGUAAACUGCUUUUGUGGAAGAAUAAUAUGCCUUAUGUAUAAGGUAUUGAAGGUAUUUUACGAAUAAGCAUCGGCUAACUCCGUGCCAGCAGCCGCGGUAAUACGGAGGAUGCAAGCGUUAUCCGGAUUCAUUGGGUUUAAAGGGUGCGCAGGCGGGCUUAUAAGUCAGUGGUGAAAUGCUGCCGCUUAACGGUAGAAUUGCCAUUGAUACUGUAGGUCUUGAGUAUGGUUGAGGUAGGUGGAAUGUGCAGUGUAGCGGUGAAAUGCAUAGAUAUUGUACAGAACGCCGAUUGCGGAGGCAGCUUACUAAGCCAUUACUGACGCUGAGGCACGAAAGCGUGGGGAUCAAACAGGAUUAGAUACCCCAGUAGUCC
Molecule: ribosomal RNA, 445 nt
Filed under: uncultured bacterium
Lineage: Bacteria
Description: bacterial SSU rRNA
Rfam family: Bacterial small subunit ribosomal RNA
Source: RNAcentral